Molecule: ribosomal RNA, 481 nt
Filed under: uncultured bacterium
Lineage: Bacteria
Description: partial 16S ribosomal RNA
Rfam family: Bacterial small subunit ribosomal RNA
Source: RNAcentral
GAUGAACGCUGGCGGCGUGCUUAACACAUGCAAGUCGAACGAAGCACUUUAUUUGAUUUCCUUCGGGACUGAUUAUUUUGUGACUGAGUGGCGGACGGGUGAGUAACGCAUGGGUAACCUGCCUUGUACAGGGGGAUAACAGUUGGAAACGGCUGCUAAUACCGCAUAAGCGCACAGCAUCGCAUGAUGCAGUGUGAAAAACUCCGGUGGUAUAAGAUGGACCCGCGUUGGAUUAGCUAGUUGGUGAGGUAACGGCCCACCAAGGCGACGAUCCAUAGCCGACCUGAGAGGGUGACCGGCCACAUUGGGACUGAGACACGGCCCAAACUCCUACGGGAGGCAGCAGUGGGGAAUAUUGCACAAUGGGCGAAAGCCUGAUGCAGCGACGCCGCGUGAGCGAAGAAGUAUUUCGGUAUGUAAAGCUCUAUCAGCAGGGAAGAUAAUGACGGUACCUGACUAAGAAGCACCGGCUAAAUACGUG